Molecule: ribosomal RNA, 253 nt
Filed under: uncultured bacterium
Lineage: Bacteria
Description: partial 16S ribosomal RNA
Rfam family: Bacterial small subunit ribosomal RNA
Source: RNAcentral
UACGUAGGGGGCAAGCGUUGUCCGGAUUUAUUGGGCGUAAAGAGCGUGUAGGCGGCCAAGUAAGUCUGCUGUGAAAACUCGAGGCUUAACCUCGAGCUGUCGGCGGAAACUAUUUGGCUAGAGUCCGGAAGAGGAGAAUGGAAUUCCCGGUGUAGCGGUGAAAUGCGCAGAUAUCGGGAAGAACACCCGUGGCGAAGGCGGUUCUCUGGGCCUGUACUGACGCUGAGGAGCGAAAGCGUGGGGAGCGAACAGG